Molecule: ribosomal RNA, 622 nt
Filed under: uncultured bacterium
Lineage: Bacteria
Description: bacterial SSU rRNA
Rfam family: Bacterial small subunit ribosomal RNA
Source: RNAcentral
CAAAGGAGCAAUCCGCUGAAAGAUGGGCUCGCGUCCGAUUAGAUAGUUGGGGGGGUAACGGCCCACCAAGUCGACGAUCGGUAGCCGGACUGAGAGGUUGAACGGCCACAUUGGGACUGAGACACGGCCCAGGCUCCUACGGGAGGCAGCAGUGAGGGAUAUUGGUCAAUGGGGGAAACCCUGAACCAGCAACGCCGCGUGAGGGAAGACGGUUUUCGGAUUGUAAACCUCUGUCCUCUGUGAAGAUAAUGACGGUAGCAGAGGAGGAAGCUCCGGCUAACUACGUGCCAGCAGCCGCGGUAAUACGUAGGGAGCGAGCGUUGUCCGGAUUUACUGGGUGUAAAGGGUGCGUAGGCGGGUAAGCAAGUCAGAAGUGAAAUCCAUGGGCUUAACCCAUGAACUGCUUUUGAAACUGUUUAUCUUGAGUGAAGUAGAGGUAGGCGGAAUUCCCGGUGUAGCGGUGAAAUGCGUAGAGAUCGGGAGGAACACCAGUGGCGAAGGCGGCCUACUGGGCUUUAACUGACGCUGAAGCACGAAAGCGUGGGUAGCAAACAGGAUUAGAUACCCUGGUAGUCCAUGCCGUAAACGAUGAUUACUAGGUGUGGGGGGACUGACCCCCUCC